GGCCUCGUAUCUCAGUUGGCUAGAGCGUUGGCUGUAAUAAAGCCUUCCCUUGAUGGCGUGGGUUCGAAUCCCACCGAGGUCA
Molecule: transfer RNA, 82 nt
Filed under: Schistocephalus solidus
Lineage: Eukaryota; Metazoa; Platyhelminthes; Cestoda; Diphyllobothriidea; Diphyllobothriidae
Rfam family: tRNA
About the family: Transfer RNA (tRNA) molecules are approximately 80 nucleotides in length.
Source: Rfam by way of RNAcentral